GAUGAACGCUGGCGGCGUGCCUAAUACAUGCAAGUCGAGCGAACAGACGAGGAGCUUGCUCCUCUGACGUUAGCGGCGGACGGGUGAGUAACACGUGGAUAACCUACCUAUAAGACUGGGAUAAUUUCGGGAAACCGGAGCUAAUACCGGAUAAUAUAUUGAACCGCAUGGUUCAAUAGUGAAAGACGGUUUUGCUGUCACUUAUAGAUGGAUCCGCGCCGCAUUAGCUAGUUGGUAAGGUAACGGCUUACCAAGGCAACGAUGCGUAGCCGACCUGAGAGGGUGAUCGGCCACACUGGAACUGAGACACGGUCCAGACUCCUACGGGAGGCAGCAGUAGGGAAUCUUCCGCAAAGGGCGAAAGCCUGACGGAGCAACGCCGCGUGAGUGAUGAAGGUCUUCGGAUCGUAAAACUCUGUUAUUAGGGAAGAACAAAUGUGUAAGUAACUAUGCACGUCUUGACGGUACCUAAUCAGAAAGCCACGGCUAACUACGUG
Molecule: ribosomal RNA, 497 nt
Filed under: uncultured bacterium
Lineage: Bacteria
Description: partial 16S ribosomal RNA
Rfam family: Bacterial small subunit ribosomal RNA
Source: RNAcentral